This is a long non-coding RNA of Rosa rugosa (rugosa rose), 783 nucleotides long. RefSeq lists it as uncharacterized. The record is from RefSeq and is a predicted model, not a curated record. Lineage: Eukaryota; Viridiplantae; Streptophyta; Magnoliopsida; Rosales; Rosaceae. The transcript has 3 exons.
UCUCCUCCCCCGCGUUUUCUCUCUCUCUUCUCCCUCUCUCUCCCCGCGUCGGCCUUCUUCCUUAUUUUCUUGAUUUCUUCUCUGUCCGGCGGCGGAUUUGAGUGAAAUCGGUGGCUAUGGACUCGUCUCGACCUCCUCUUGGUGCCUGCGGUGGUGGCUCAUGGCGGCUUGGCCGGAAAAUGACGCAUCGAGCUGUGGAAGUUUCACUGUAGCAGAAGUGGUCAACGCCGAUUUCUUCUGAUUCCGGCUACCCCAGACGGCAAAGUUGGGUCCUUUGGAAGCGCCUUACGACGUAGAUGAUGCUCCCCAAACCUCUUGAAGCGAUUUGCAGCGUGGAAGAAGAAAGCAUAAUUGGAAGAUUUUACUGUUCAUUCGGGUUCAAUCUUCCCCUUAAUUGUUGAGGGCAAUGUUGCGAGCUACGGCUAGACGAAGAAACUCGUACGCUUGAUCGCCUAAAUAGUACUUUUGCAGGCGAAAUUAGUUGAGGUCGGGCGUACAUUGGAGUUGAGGCAUAGUCAACAGCCUAGCUUCCGCGGUUGCCUUUGAGUUAGGUUGUCCUUAUUUUCCUUUCUAUUAGAAUUGCUCUGAUUACCUAUGGGAUUUAUGUUUUUCAAGUUGAGGCUUUGUGUUUUGUGAAUUGGAGAUUGGUGUUGAGUUGGGGAGCAGGGUGGCUCCAGAAGUAUAAGGAUGAUUUGAUUUAGAAGUGUAAAUGCUUUCUACAGGUUUUGGGUAGCCCAUUUUAGGGGAAGUUCCGCCAAAUUUUUGGUCGAAUUUCUUCUAAGG